This is a non-coding RNA of Callorhinchus milii (elephant shark), 73 nucleotides long. The record is from the annotation of a RefSeq genome assembly. Lineage: Eukaryota; Metazoa; Chordata; Chondrichthyes; Chimaeriformes; Callorhinchidae.
AGCCCUGUAGCUCAGUGGUUAGAGCACUCGCCUAGCGAGCGAAAGGACCUGGGUUCUAUCCCUAGCAGGGCGA